UACGGAGGGUGCAAGCGUUAAUCGGAAUUACUGGGCGUAAAGCGCGCGUAGGCGGUUUUUUAAGUCGGAUGUGAAAGCCCCGGGCUCAACCUGGGAACUGCAUCCGAUACUGGCAAACUAGAAUGUGGUAGAGGGAAGUGGAAUUCCUCAUGUAGCGGUGAAAUGCGUAGAUAUGAGGAGGAACACCAGUGGCGAAGGCGGCUUCCUGGACCAACAUUGACGCUGAGGUACGAAAGCGUGGGUAGCAAACAGG
This 253-nucleotide ribosomal RNA is filed under the name uncultured bacterium. RNAcentral describes it as "partial 16S ribosomal RNA". It matches the Rfam family "Bacterial small subunit ribosomal RNA", at positions 524 to 776 of the family's 1533-position model. The record is from RNAcentral.